This 468-nucleotide ribosomal RNA is filed under the name uncultured bacterium. Its description in RNAcentral is "partial 16S ribosomal RNA". It matches the Rfam family "Bacterial small subunit ribosomal RNA", at positions 28 to 507 of the family's 1533-position model. The record is from RNAcentral.
GACGAACGCUGGCGGCGUGCUUAACACAUGCAAGUCGAACGGAAAGGCCCUGCUUUUGUGGGGUGCUCGAGUGGCGAACGGGUGAGUAACACGUGAGUAACCUGCCCUUGACUUUGGGAUAACUUCAGGAAACUGGGGCUAAUCCCGGAUAGGAGCUCCUGCUGCAUGGUGGGGGUUGGAAAGUUUCGGCGGUUGGGGAUGGACUCGCGGCUUAUCAGCUUGUUGGUGGGGUAGUGGCUUACCAAGGCUUUGACGGGUAGCCGGCCUGAGAGGGUGACCGGCCACAUUGGGACUGAGAUACGGCCCAGACUCCUACGGGAGGCAGCAGUGGGGAAUAUUGCACAAUGGGCGGAAGCCUGAUGCAGCAACGCCGCGUGCGGGAUGACGGCCUUCGGGUUGUAAACCGCUUUCGCCAGUGACGAAGCGUGAGUGACGGUAAUGGGUAAAGAAGCACCGGCUAACUACGUG